Molecule: microRNA precursor, 105 nt
Filed under: Medicago truncatula (barrel medic)
Lineage: Eukaryota; Viridiplantae; Streptophyta; Magnoliopsida; Fabales; Fabaceae
Description: miRNA gene28885
Rfam family: MIR2587 microRNA precursor family (bases 6-99)
Source: RNAcentral
UAGUGGUGUCAUGGUCAUUGUUGAGCGCUCAUACGACCCAUACAAUUGCAUUGCAGCUUAUGCAGGGGUCGUAUAACGGUCAACAGAGACCCUUGACAUCAAAGA